AUACGGAGGGUGCAAGCGUUACUCGGAAUCACUGGGUGUAAAGCGCGCGCAGGCGGUCUUUUAAGUUGGAUGUGAAAGCCUACGGCUCAACCGUAGAACUGCAUCCAAAACUAUUAGACUAGAGUGUGGGAGAGGAAGAUGGAAUUAGUUGUGUAGGGGUAAAAUCCGUAGAGAUAACUAGGAAUACCAAAAGCGAAGGCAAUCUUCUGGAACACUACUGACGCUGAGGCGCGAAAGCGUGGGGAGCAAACAGGAUUAGAAACCCUAGUAGUCC
Molecule: ribosomal RNA, 274 nt
Filed under: uncultured bacterium
Lineage: Bacteria
Description: partial 16S ribosomal RNA
Rfam family: Bacterial small subunit ribosomal RNA
Source: RNAcentral